This 258-nucleotide ribosomal RNA is filed under the name uncultured bacterium. RNAcentral's name for it is "partial 16S ribosomal RNA". The record is from RNAcentral.
CUGCUGCCUUCCGUAGGAGUUUGGGCCGUGUCUCAGUCCCAAUGUGGCCGUUCACCCUCUCAGGCCGGCCACUGAUCGUUGCCUUGGUAGGCCAUUACCCCACCAACUAGCUAAUCAGACGCGGAACCAUCGUAUACCACCAGAGUUUUUCACACCGCUUCAUGCGAAGCUGUGCGCUUAUGCGGUAUUAGCACCUAUUUCUAAGUGUUAUCCCCCAGUAUACGGCAGGUUUUCCACGCGUUACUCACCCGUCCGCCA